Molecule: non-coding RNA, 180 nt
Filed under: Desulfosporosinus sp.
Lineage: Bacteria; Bacillati; Bacillota; Clostridia; Eubacteriales; Desulfitobacteriaceae
Also listed under: 1 other name
Source: RNAcentral
UAAUAGCGUUAUGCUUAAGGUUCCUCUGCGCUAGAGGAUUAAAAAGGGGAAGUCGGCGAAAGUCCGACGCGGUCCCGCCACUGUAAACAAGGAGUUCUCAUUUAUCCCGCGAGUUAUUACCAUGAUGGGUAGAGAAUGAUGAUAUGAAGCCAGAAAACCUGCCUUGAGAAAUAUCACAGA